UACGUAGGGUGCAAGCGUUAAUCGGAAUUACUGGGCGUAAAGCGUGCGCAGGCGGUUUUGUAAGCCGGAUGUGAAAUCCCCGGGCUUAACCUGGGAAUGGCAUUCGGGACUGCAAGGCUGGAGUGCGGCAGAGGAGACUGGAAUUCCUGGUGUAGCAGUGAAAUGCGUAGAUAUCAGGAGGAACACCGAUGGCGAAGGCAGGUCUCUGGGCUGACACUGACGCUCAUGCACUAAAGCGUGGGGAGCAAACAGG
Molecule: ribosomal RNA, 253 nt
Filed under: uncultured bacterium
Lineage: Bacteria
Description: partial 16S ribosomal RNA
Rfam family: Bacterial small subunit ribosomal RNA
Source: RNAcentral